UUACCCUUGGUAUGCUUAUUUAUAUAUAUACUAAUUCUAAACUACACCAUGAACAGGAGUUGUUUCUGAUUGGACCACUUUGAUUUUUAUUUUAAUUUUUUUUUUAAAACGUCCGUGUAGGCCAAUAAGAAUAAGAUCGGUGUCCAUACAUGUGGUAAGCACCGCUUUUUUCAUCGAUUUUUGAGUCGGCUUUUUACCCCCAUUCAAUUUAGAUCAGUGUCCUCUCCACCGCUUCAUUUUCUUCCGGAUCCUCUACCGCCUCAUCUCCGCUUCUGACUUCUUAUCGGCCUUUGCUGGCGAUUUCCCCUAAACCAAGAAAACCGACAAGCCAAGAGUGUCGAUUCAUGCUCUGCGUCUAACCGAAGAUCCAAUCCCAGGUAUUUGUCCUUCGCUACCAUCAACGAAAGGGGAAGGACGGUCACAAGCCGACUGCUGACUUCAGCCGACACCCAGUUCAUCGCUUACCGCUCCAUCAUCCGCCCACAAUCGCCGCCCAACUACUUCUUCCAUAUUCACAUCGUCUUCUCCUUCAAUGGCAUCCAUAUAAUUUUGUCAGAUGAAUCUUCUUUGCAAGGUCAGUUAUGCUUGGGUACUAAAUUUGAAAACCCUGUUUAUGUUUUCUUUGUAUCCUUCAUUGAAGAGAUUUCUAGCAAUGGUUGAAGUAUUUGUUUAUUUUUGGUUUUAUUUGAUGUAAUUUACCGAUCAAGUUUUUCCAAAUUGGUUGUUGUCAAAUUCAUUUUUUUUUUUUUUUUUGUAAUUUACUGAUAAAAUUUAUGUAGUUUCCUGUUUUCUGAGUUCAUAUAAUUGUUUUUAAUUAUUUUUUUUUUAAAAUUUGGUUCAACCCCUCAAUUCGUCGUUAUUUGGUUCAAAACAAAAUAUCUGGUGAUUCUAUCAUAUUCAUGAUUUUCCUUGAUUUUUCUUACUGAGCUAACGGAAAUGUAAUUGCUAUCGUAUGCUAAUCAUUUCAGGUUAUCUAAAGUCAACAAACUCAUAUUUUUGUCAACGUAAAUCAUGGAAAUUUCCGAAAUUGAAGAGAAUAUGUUUGCGCUGGGUGAACCGAAGGUGUUGACCGUUUUCCCCGACUUAGAACCAGAUCAAAACGAGAAGGCAGAAGAAUUCCAAUAACUGGAUCAAAGAUAGAAACUAUACCGGCCGAUGAUUACUCUUUUUCGCUUUCCCUCUAAUUUUCCACUUGAAAUUGACUCUCUCUCUCUCACACACACACACAUACAUAAACGUACAGGCAUGUAGUAGUUUUAAUAGUUGCAUAUGGGUUGUUUUGCAGGUUUACAAAGGAUGGAGUGUUAGCUUCCAUUUCAUCACCAAGUUUACAAUUUUGAUGAAACAACACAAAAGUUUUGGUGAAUUAUAGUGUUGUUGGUUGAUUCCAUACGAGUAAGCGACUGUUUCUUUUUUAUUUUAUUGGCUAAGCACUUGAUAUUGACCCCAUUAAAGGUUUUUUUCCUGAAAAACACCCUCACUUUUACACCAGUCAUGAUAGGCAUCAGAGUAAACUAUCAAAGAAGCAUCGAACUCUUAAUGUUUUCUUGGUAGUUGGUGAUUGUAUCUUAGUUGGAUUACAGGUGAUUCUUCCUUCUUCAUUUCUUCUCUUCCAGUCAUACCAUGUAUAUUCAUUCCAUUGAAGCUGUUCAAGUUG
Long non-coding RNA from Lactuca sativa (garden lettuce), 1657 nucleotides. RefSeq lists it as uncharacterized. NCBI's taxonomy places the organism in Eukaryota, Viridiplantae, Streptophyta, Magnoliopsida, Asterales, Asteraceae. The record is from RefSeq and is a predicted model, not a curated record.